This is a long non-coding RNA of Triticum aestivum (bread wheat), 2816 nucleotides long. RefSeq lists it as uncharacterized. The record is from RefSeq and is a predicted model, not a curated record. The transcript has 4 exons. Lineage: Eukaryota; Viridiplantae; Streptophyta; Magnoliopsida; Poales; Poaceae.
CUCUCCCCCUCCUCUCCCCACCGCGCCGCCCACCACGUGCGUCUCCCAACUACGCCGCCGGCGCCGCUGCCGCCGCCCUCCCGCGCCUCUGCGAAGGAGGCAACCACCGCCGCCCACUUGCGCAGCUCAACAACCGCCGACCCACCUCGCCCACCGUGGCCCACAGUUGGACCACCUCCUCCCCGAGGAGACCAGGAACUCCGCCUCACCGAGAGCUACGCCAUCCUCGAGCCGCGCUUGCUGGGGAGUCGUGGAUCGACGGAAUCGCUCCCAUCUCCUCCCACUCGCGCCUCUCCUGUCUUCCCCGAUCCGUUCAAAAGAAUUAGGGUGCCCCGCCGGUGUAGUGGUCCGCCGCUGGAGGGCCGCCGCUCGCCACCUCCCCCCCUCUCGAUUGCUUGCUAUGCAGCCUGGGCGUCGUGGCCCACCGCUCGCCGCCGCUGGACGACUGGAGGUCGUCGGCACCCAAGUACCGCCCACGCUCUGGCGCUUGCACGCCGCCGGCCCUGCCCCAUCCCACCCUCCGCCACCACCUUCCCCACCCCGAGCUCGGAUUUACGACGCCCACUGCCUUCCAGUUCGAGCUCCGCCUCGACCUCAUCCCUGCUGCUGCCGCCUUCCCUGAACCAAGGAAGCCCUCAUCUGAUACGCUCUCAUCCGCGACGUGCUUCUCCAACCAUUGGUACGCGACGGUGGUUCGGUCCGGGAGGUGGCUCCUGCAAUCCUGGCGUCGCCGCAGCGGUGGUUCCAUUCCGGCGGCAUCAGGGGAGCACACAACGUCCACGAGCAGCAAGCAGAGUCGGCCAAUGAUGCAGCAGCGCUGUCCAUGAGGAGACGCCUGCCGUGGCGGACGCGGAGACAACAGCCAUGGGCGUGGAAGACGGUUUUGGAUCCUAUGAGCCGCCGCCGCUGCCGCACAGAAAGUCAACGCCGGCCUUCUGCUGCUCCAUGUCCCACAAGUCGCCCACGAGGCGUCAGUGUGGCAUUGCUAGCUCCAGUUUCCCCCUGCAAUCGUCUCUACCGCCGGCACUUGCACGCAAUCGUGCUGGUUUCUGUAGUUCAAGAUCAAAGGCAAGAAUCAGCCAAAUAUGAUGAUGAGAACAGGGCUAAUGAUGGAGAACCUUCAUCUAUCGAAGCUGAGCAGUCUAUUGGGAAUACUAAGUUUCAAUGCGCAUCCUAAGUUUCAGUUACCUGAAAUCAAGGCCAGUUUCAGUCGAUGCCGAAGUAAACUACCACAUACGUGAUGACCUUGAGAAAAUCCAUGCACUUCAAUUGGACAGGAGUUUUCUGCCACGUAAUCGAUGAUGCACUUCACGUGACAGAAUUGUUUGUUAAAGGAACUUUUGGCAAGAAAUACACAACCGUGCCAUUCAGUGUUAUACCUCUGUUAUUGGCAAGAAAUACACUAAUGUGUAGCUCACUGCUGAGGUAACAUCAAAUUUGUCUAAUACUUGUUCUCGCAUGUAGAAGUAAAAUGCUCUUUCAGAAUACAGUUAAAGGUGUCAGUAUAUUCUUCAGGUUAGCAAACUAUGAUUGAUUGCUCUUUAUGCUAAUCUGAAGAAGUUUAGAACCAUAUGUAUUCUGAACAUUGGCAAGUCCGCUUACAUAAAUUCUUCUAUUUUGCCAUUGCAACGAGAGAAAAAAAUACAUGGAGUGCCAAUGGAGAACUUGGCCCAAUUGAUAAUAUACCCAUCUUGGGUACUAUACAUCUAUUUCAUAUCAACGUUUGCUACUGACGUUGUGAUAGUUAAUGUUUCAUACUCCACAUUUGUUUCUUUUUCCGACAAAUCGAGAACCAUCUAUCAUAUUAUUCACCUUCUUGAGUGCUGGUAAAUCUAAUUUAAUUUUAUAAAUCCAUUUACGUCUUUCUAACACCGCAGAUGUUUUUUUAAGCAUUCCGCUAUAUGACAUUUCUUGACCGUUCAUAUAUCAAACUCCAGUUUUUAACUUCAUAUCGAAUCAAUUAUUGUAAGUCAAAGCUAAAAGUGCGUAUUCUAAUAUUUGAUUCCCAAAUUUGGUUUGUCACCGCCGUAAGCUCAUAACUUUAAACACCCGUACCUGGCAUUGAAACGGAAGGCUGAUCAAUAUUAGUGAUAUCACCAAGAGGGGGUCGGGAAACAACCUGCUUUUCAUUUUGGAGCUUGACCUGUUCAUCCUUUUUCUUUCGAUAAGUUGCUCGCCGUCGUGCGUUUCUCUGCUCCCUUUUGUCGUCUGUUAUGCUAUAACUCACUUGGUCAUUCACAAUAGCACAUGUUGUCUCGGAAUGAGUUGGGUAUACAUCACAUGUUGGGGUAGACGAUGUCACAAGCUCUGAACCACCACAACCAAGGGCAUUAAGACACACAUCAUUGUGGGCAGACUCUCUGGCUGCAGGAACAAAAGAAAAUAUGUCGGUUAGGCUAAUACAUGAACAUGCAUCCCUUUAAGCACAAAUCUGGCCAUAUGAAAGGCAUAAAGUGACCUGCGGCAUAAAGUGAUGCAAGAGUACUCCUAUCCGGGAACGAAGGCACAUUAUUGUCUGCACGAUGUAUAAACAACAAAUCUUGAUGAGAAUUAGUCAACAUGUACAUUCAUAGAGACGUUUGAUCACUGUCCAUGAUGCACGUGUCAGAUCAUACCAAAUGAACUUCCUGCAAGGCCGCAGGCAAAAAUAUCUGUGAGAGUACUCGGAUCAGUGAACGAAGCAACAUCAGGGCUACAGAAGGAGAUUGAUGGGUUGUCUACAAAACAAAACCAGUACAGAAUGAGGCAGUUUCCUGCUAACCGAAUAGGGUAGAUAGUGUGUUUAAAUAUGGAACCCACGUACGUAAACUUGCAUG